This 77-nucleotide transfer RNA is filed under the name Rickettsiales bacterium. RNAcentral's name for it is "tRNA-His". It matches the Rfam family "tRNA". Rfam says of the family: Transfer RNA (tRNA) molecules are approximately 80 nucleotides in length. Their secondary structure includes four short double-helical elements and three loops (D, anti-codon, and T loops). The record is from RNAcentral. Lineage: Bacteria; Pseudomonadati; Pseudomonadota; Alphaproteobacteria; Rickettsiales.
GCGGGCAUAGCUCAGUUGGUUAGAGCGCAGGUUUGUGGUAUCUGAUGCCGUCGGUUCGAGUCCGAUUGCCCGCCCCA